Molecule: non-coding RNA, 664 nt
Organism: Rana temporaria (common frog)
Lineage: Eukaryota; Metazoa; Chordata; Amphibia; Anura; Ranidae
Source: the annotation of a RefSeq genome assembly
ACAUUGUACAGGUGACAUCUCAGUAGUCUGUGUGUGUCAGUGCAGAGACAUCAGGAUGGCUUCUCAGGGGGUUCUGCUGCCUCUCAUACUGCUUUAUAUUCAGGGGAGUUGGGCAGAUAUUACACUGACACAAUCUCCAAAUUAUUUAAGUGCAAAUCCAGGAGACACAGUCACCAUGUCAUGUAAAUCCAGUACUGGUAUCGGCAAUGCGUUACACUGGUACCAACAGAAACCAGGACAACGUCCAACACUGAUCAUCAGAUAUGCAACCACUCUGCAGUCUGGAGCCCCAACCAGGUUCAGUGGAUCGUAUUCAGGAACAGAUUUUACUCUUAAGAUCAGCAACAUAAAGGAAGAAGAUGAAGCAAUGUAUCUCUGUCAGCAGAGUAACAGCUGGCCUCUCACACAGUGAUACAGAGCCGUACAAAAACCUCCUUCCUCUUUUAUCAGCAAUGACAUUUCACAUCACAUAUAAGAUACUGAACACAUAUCAGUUAUUUCUAUAGAUAGACUGAUAUCAGUGCUCUGCAUUUUCUCCAAUCUUAGGGUUUUACUGAGCAAAACAAAAAAGUUUUUCUAGAAGGUUCCUGUGCCUCCCAAGUAUCAACACUAUAAAUACUGUGACAGUCAAAUGCACUAUCACUACGUAAAGAACCUCAUAGUG